Molecule: ribosomal RNA, 253 nt
Filed under: uncultured bacterium
Lineage: Bacteria
Description: partial 16S ribosomal RNA
Rfam family: Bacterial small subunit ribosomal RNA
Source: RNAcentral
GACGAACCCCCCAAACGUUAUUCGGAAUUACUGGGCUUAAAGAGUGCGUAGGCGGUCUUGUAAGUAGGGUGUGAAAUCCCACAGCUCAACUGUGGAACUGCGCUCUAAACUACAAGACUAGAGGGAUAUAGAGGUGAGCAGAACUGAUGGUGGAGCGGUGAAAUGCGUUGAUAUCAUCAGGAAUACCGGAGGCGAAGGCGGCUCACUGGGUAUCUUCUGACGCUGAGGUACGAAAGCUAGGGGAGCGAACGGG